AGCGGCGAACGGGUGAGUAAACGAGAGCAACCUGCCCCUAGCUCUGGGAUAGCUCCGGGAAACCGGGAUUAAUACCAGAUACGACCACUUUAGACAUCUGUUGUGGUGGAAAGGAUUCCGGCUAGGGAUGGGCUCGCGGCCAUCAGCUUGGUGGUGGGGUAACGGCCUACCAAGGCGACGACGGGUAGCCGGCCUGAGAGGGCGACCGGCCACACUGGGACUGAGACACGGCCCAGACUCCUACGGGAGGCAGCAGUGGGGAAUAUUGCGCAAUGGGCGAAAGCCUGACGCAGCGACGCCGCGUGGGGGAUGAAGGCCUUCGGGUUGUAAACCCCUUUCAGCAGGGACGAAGCGAGAGUGACGGUACCUGCAGAAGAAGCGCCGGCUAACUACGUGCCAGCAGCCGCGGUAACACGUAGGGCGCAAGCGUUGUCCGGAAUUAUUGGGCGUAAAGAGCUCGUAGGCGGUCUGUUGCGUCCGCUGUGAAAUCUCGGGGCUUAACCCCGAGCCUGCAGUGGA
RNAcentral lists this ribosomal RNA (519 nucleotides) under uncultured bacterium. Its description in RNAcentral is "bacterial SSU rRNA". It matches the Rfam family "Bacterial small subunit ribosomal RNA", at positions 94 to 630 of the family's 1533-position model. The record is from RNAcentral.